Molecule: small nucleolar RNA, 86 nt
Organism: Engraulis encrasicolus (European anchovy)
Lineage: Eukaryota; Metazoa; Chordata; Actinopteri; Clupeiformes; Engraulidae
Product: small nucleolar RNA SNORD100
Exons: 1
Source: RefSeq, a predicted model, not a curated record
UGCAUCUGUGAUGAUAACUUGGCUCCCUCUUCUGAAACAAGAGUGAGGAAAUUUGCCUUAUGUUACCCAAGUCUUACUGAGAUGCA